UACAAUGCUCCUAGACAAGAAUGAUGGAUU
This 30-nucleotide non-coding RNA is filed under the name Rattus norvegicus (Norway rat). The record is from RNAcentral. Lineage: Eukaryota; Metazoa; Chordata; Mammalia; Rodentia; Muridae.